GCGUUCGAAUUGUAGUCU
RNAcentral lists this small nuclear RNA (18 nucleotides) under Arabidopsis thaliana (thale cress). RNAcentral's name for it is "snRNA_15987". Lineage: Eukaryota; Viridiplantae; Streptophyta; Magnoliopsida; Brassicales; Brassicaceae. The record is from RNAcentral.